CUUUUCGGUAAAGGAAACAUCGUGAGGAAACCGGACUAAUCCCAAUAAGGUCUAGUUUUCCCCUCUGGGUUGGAAGGUCAGAUGGCAGACGCUUUCGUAUAAACUCGUGCCUACGUCAAUUCUUGGGAUUAGUUGUCAAAGCGGACCCCAGGCUCCCAUGAGCCGUGGCAAAAUGACGGGAUAACGCAAGGAGGA
Molecule: long non-coding RNA, 195 nt
Organism: Cydia amplana
Lineage: Eukaryota; Metazoa; Arthropoda; Insecta; Lepidoptera; Tortricidae
Exons: 2
Source: RefSeq, a predicted model, not a curated record